GCUCAAUGUGCAUAUAGGGAUUCGAGGGGCUCUUGAUGGCACAUGUGAAACAUGACCUUGAAAUAUCAUACAUACUACUAAUACUGUGCGAGAACCAACUAAUGCUAGAACCCAGCGAUUGUGUCAAAAAGAAAGACAGAAAAAACAUGAUAUGAAUCGCUCCCGACCCUUACAGGCAGUUUAAUAUGGAUAAAUUGCAGGGACACAAACAACUUGAGUGUCUUUGCGGUCACACGCUCCGCCUCUCGGUCAAUCCAGACAAAUUCUAAGAGUUGUGCCGAAGCUUUUAAGCUGUAAUUGAGGACAGGAUGCCCAGGAAAACCAAAGCCAGCACUGCACAGACCUGGGUUUUUAUAGCUGCUAUAGUAUUCUUGUGCGCCUUUCCCCUCAAGCCAGACAGACACCACAAAACCGGUCAAGCGUGAUAGGAAGUCGCCACCUACACUGACUCAAAGUCAGCAGCUGGGGAAUUUCAGCAACAUAGAAACAUGUGUACACAGCUAAGGUGACAGAAACGAGGGCGAUGACAGAGGGGCCUGGCGGACCACACAAGGGCUACAGAGCGAAACUGACCAACUCCACGGUCAACGGGAGCGCCUCCGGCUAGUCAGGGGAGAAUCACAAGGCUGGAUUAGCCUGCAGAGGGUGUCCUGAGAAACAAGGCGCCAGGAGGAGCGGGACUAGACAAAAGGACAUAAAGUGGACUGUAGUGGGGGGAAUAAACGAACAUUUACAAAGGGGAUCAUUUGAAAGAAUAACAAGGAAUACGAGAAAGAACCAAGACGCGAGUAAAGGGAAAUUAAAGGAUUUCAUCUUCAUUAAAAAAAAAAAAAAAACACCACACAAAGUACAAAAUAGAAUACUGAAAUAGAAAAUUCAAUAUUCCUUACAUUAAAAGCAUUCGGCAACUAAACCCAGAUCUGAAAUUGUGACUAUUCUUAGAAGAUCUUAGUUAUUUUAUUUCUUAUAGGUAACCAGUUCUCCAGAUCUGUGGUUGAGUUCCAGCGUUUAGUUGCGAUUUCCCACAACAUGAAAAAAACGGACUCGUCUUCCAUCUAAAGGAUCGUUUUGAAAGGACAUUUGAUAAAAUUAAAAUUUGAUAAAAUUUGAUAAAAAGUUCAAUUUUACUUAAACGAGGAGAGAGAAAAAUAUAUUUGGGGUCUAAAAACAGGCGCAGUGUGCGUCAAAUAACGCAAAUCCCGACCUGCGUUUCUUUCUUGCUUGCUUGCUUGCUUUCUUUCUAAAAAAAAAAAGUCGCCUUUUUACACCACAUUAACCUUCAGUAUUUUCCUCUUCUGUUGUAUAUUUUUUCAGCUUGCUCGGCCCUGAAAUGAUCUUCUCAAGAAGUUAACAUCUUGCGGACGCCACGCCGAG
Oreochromis aureus is the source of this 1374-nucleotide long non-coding RNA. Lineage: Eukaryota; Metazoa; Chordata; Actinopteri; Cichliformes; Cichlidae. The record is from Ensembl.